RNAcentral lists this microRNA (24 nucleotides) under Glycine max (soybean). Its description in RNAcentral is "gma-miR167h". Its record names the gene gma-miR167h. The record is from miRBase by way of RNAcentral. Lineage: Eukaryota; Viridiplantae; Streptophyta; Magnoliopsida; Fabales; Fabaceae. RNAcentral also lists the same sequence under 1 other name.
AUCAUGCUGGCAGCUUCAACUGGU